This 448-nucleotide ribosomal RNA is filed under the name uncultured bacterium. Its description in RNAcentral is "SSU rRNA". It matches the Rfam family "Bacterial small subunit ribosomal RNA", at positions 26 to 518 of the family's 1533-position model. The record is from RNAcentral.
AGAACGAACGCUGGCGGCAGGCUUAACACAUGCAAGUCGAACGCGUGUAGCAAUACACGAGUGGCGCACGGGUGAGUAACGCGUGGAUAUCUGCCUUUUGGUUCGGAAUAACCCCGGGAAACUGGGGCUAAUACCGGAUAGUUCCUACGGGAUAAAGAUUUAUCGCCAAAAGAUGAGUCCGCGUACGAUUAGCUAGUUGGUGAGGUAAUGGCUCACCAAGGCGACGAUCGUUAGCUGGUCUGAGAGGACGAUCAGCCACACUGGGACUGAGACACGGCCCAGACUCCUACGGGAGGCAGCAGUGGGGAAUAUUGGACAAUGGGGGCAACCCUGAUCCAGCCAUGCCGCGUGAGUGAUGAAGGCCUUCGGGUUGUAAAGCUCUUUUGGCGGGGACGAUGAUGACGGUACCCGCAGAAUAAGCCCCGGCUAACUUCGCGCCAGCAGCCGC